UACGGAGGGUGCAAGCGUUAUCCGGAAUCACUGGGCGUAAAGGGCGCGUAGGCGGUCUCGUAAGUCCGAUGUUAAAGAGCGGGGCUCAACCCCGUCACGGCGUUGGAUACUGCGAGGCUUGACGGCUGGAGAGGCGAGUGGAAUUACCAGUGUAGCGGUGGAAUGCGUAGAUACUGGUAGGAACACCCAUUGCGAAGGCAGCUCGCUGGACAGCACGUGACGCUGAGGCGCGAAAGUGUGGGGAGCAAACCGGAUUAGAUACCCGGGUAGUCCACACCCUAAACGAUGCACACUUGGUGUCGGCCCGUUGGGGUCGGCGCCGGAGUUAACGCGUUAAGUGUGCCGCCUGGGAAGUACGGCCGCAAGGUUGAA
RNAcentral lists this ribosomal RNA (372 nucleotides) under uncultured bacterium. Its description in RNAcentral is "bacterial SSU rRNA". It matches the Rfam family "Bacterial small subunit ribosomal RNA", at positions 524 to 898 of the family's 1533-position model. The record is from RNAcentral.